This 204-nucleotide long non-coding RNA is filed under the name Vigna radiata. Its description in RNAcentral is "long non-coding RNA (VRAD_LNC005657)". The record is from RNAcentral. Lineage: Eukaryota; Viridiplantae; Streptophyta; Magnoliopsida; Fabales; Fabaceae.
GCGGAUGAUUGUGAAAGUCUAAUGUCAUGAGUGGGAAAAUGCUAUUAGUGGUUGUGGAUACAUGGCAAAUAUUUGCAUAUAAAAUCUAUUUACAGUGAAUAUUUGCAAAUAUUUAAUAUUAGUAAAUAAUGAUAUGCCAAUCUAAUAAUAAUGAUACAGACAACAAAAGUUUUAAAUAAAUAAUAAAGAGUUUGAAAAUCAGAG